Molecule: long non-coding RNA, 115 nt
Organism: Cucurbita moschata (crookneck pumpkin)
Lineage: Eukaryota; Viridiplantae; Streptophyta; Magnoliopsida; Cucurbitales; Cucurbitaceae
Exons: 3
Source: RefSeq, a predicted model, not a curated record
GUGUGCGAGUUUGUGUCGAAAAAGCUCGUUUGGUAUUGCUGAGGUAUAACUAACACAAUGAGUGAUUUUCAAAUCGGUGGAAGAAUCAAGAAACUCAACAACACAUCUAUAACAC